RNAcentral lists this unclassified non-coding RNA (427 nucleotides) under Trichuris navonae. RNAcentral describes it as "sequence contains ITS2". Lineage: Eukaryota; Metazoa; Nematoda; Enoplea; Trichinellida; Trichuridae. The record is from RNAcentral.
CAUUACGUACCCACGGUGCGCUUCCGCGGCUGGUCCGUUUCGACCGCCGUGCUUCGAACGUCUGCUCCUGCACCGGUAGCGACGUUCGAACAAGCGCUGUGCCGCCUCGGAUACGAGUAAUUGCCGCUGCUGCCGUUUCCGCAGCAUGGCAGUGAAAGUAAAUCCGUUGGCAUGGAGAGAAGCUUGCUCGGCGGGACGCUGCUUCCAUGUCCUUCCGAGCAUGCUACGUACGCUCGGCAAAACGCUUCCGUAGAGGCUCCGCCGAACGUUCGCUCGUUCGAUGGCAUCGUAUCGAGCGGGCGGACGCGGCAAACGUUGCUCAUUGCUGUGCUUCCAGGCUGCUGGUUUCCCGUCUGGCUGCGCUCGACGGACCCGAUCACGGCUAUGCCGUUGCUUAUACUGCUGACCUCAGAUCAGACUACGCUAC